AACAAAUUAGUAAUAUACCAAAAAAAGGGAGGGAAAAAAAAACAACCAUGGUUUUAAAAUUUGAGAAAAGCUUUAUCAUUCCCAUGUUUGUGAUCAUCAUUUUGGUGAUCACUUGUGCAUCACAAGUGGUGUCCGGCCGGUCGAUGCAUGAACCGUCCAUUGUUGCGAAACACGAACAAUGGAUGGCUCAGCAUGGACGCACUUACAAGGACGAGCUAGAGAAGGCAAUGCGUCUUAAUAUAUUCAAGCAAAACCUUGAAUACAUUGGGAAAGCCAACAAGGAGGGGAAUCGGACGUACAAGUUGGGUACCAAUGAAUUUUCAGACUUAACUAACGAGGAGUUUCGUGCUUCAUAUACAGGAUACAACACGCCAGUACCAAGCCUAAGCCGCCAGUCAUCACUGCCAUCCAACUUCAAGUAUCAAAACGUGACUGAUGUUCCGACUAGCAUCGACUGGAGGGAGAAAGGAGCUGUCACUCAUAUAAAGGACCAAGGCCAAACUGGUAAUUAAUUAUAUAUAUAUAUAUAUAUAUAUAUUGAUGAAGUGAUGCUGCAGAUUGUUUGUAGCUGUCACAUCAUGUACAACAAAUUAUUAUAUAAUAUUAUUAUUCGUCGUCUAACGUAACAUGCAAUAUUAUUUUGCAGGAUCCUCUUGGGCAUUUUCAGCUGUGGCGGCGGUGGAAGGGAUCACUCAGAUUACUAGUCGAAAACUGAUUGAACUUUCGGGGCAGCAGUUGGUAGACUGCUCAACAGACAACCAUGGAUGCAGUGGGGGUCUUAUGGAUAAAGCCUUUGAGUAUAUUAUAGAAAACAAGGGCCUUGCCUCAGAAGCGGACUAUCCGUACCGGCGAGAACAAGGAACCUGUGACAAACAGAAGGAGAAAGCUGUUGCCGCUACAAUCAGUAAAUAUGAAGAUUUACCGCAAGGUGACGAGCAAGCCUUACUCCAGGCCGUAAGCAAGCAGCCAGUAUCAGUUUGUGUUGAAGCGAGCGGACGAGCCUUCCAUUUUUACAAAAGCGGCGUGCUUAAUGCAGACUGUGGGAAUAACUGUGAUCAUGGUGUCGCUGUUGUUGGGUUUGGAACUGCUGAAGAAGAAAAUGGAGCCAAAUACUGGUUAAUUAAGAAUUCGUGGGGGGAGACUUGGGGUGAGUCCGGCUACAUAAGGAUUCUCAGAGAUGAAGGUCUCUGUGGCAUUGCCACUGCGGCUUCCUAUCCAGUUGCAUGACUACUAUAUUUUAUUAGCCUCCUCUUCAUCAUAGCAGUAUCAAUUAGGUUGUGCUAUCCUACAUAUGGAAAUAAUUUAAUCUUGUUGGAAUCUUAAUUAGUUUUGGAGUAUUGAUGAUAUCUUCAUCAACUUCAAACCCACGGAUGUAUUGGCUAGCCACUGAAAGCUGAUAUUUAUCUAUUGUGUGGUUAAUUUUCUAUAUUUCUUAAUGUUUGUAAUGGAAUUAAUGCCAGUAUACUUGGUGUCUUCUAUAAUUAACGUUAAAUCUCUUGUUUAAAUAUAAUUUUGAUCUUCGCCGCAAUUACUUUAUUACAAUUUAAGCAAUAAAUUAAUUAUAUUACUUAUUUAUCAAAUUCCUAUUGGUAAAUUUAAAGGUUUUUUUUUUAAACAAAAGUUUUUUUGGAGAAAAUUGAGGAAAAUACGGGCUCCAGUUGUUAAUUUGGAGAAAUUAAUUGGAACCCGCUCAUGUUUUAAAACACAUUCACGCUCCUCACAACAGAUAUUGACCGUGAAACUUAAGUACUGUUUUGAGAAUAUAAAUGAAGUGAAAUAACAUAUAUGCAUAUCCUCGAUGAGCAACAACUUCAUUUUCUUCUGAGCAUUUAUUCUUCUCAUAUGCAUCACUCUCAAUUUAGUGAAUGAUAUAAUGAUGGAAAUGAGUUUCGCUACAAGAUCAAAAUAGAAAUUUUGUAGUAUAAAAAUGGCUCAAAUUAAGUUAAAUUUCAUGGUAACCAUAAAAGAUUUUAGUUAUUAGAACCGAAGAGAAAAUUUAUAGUUACGCAUACCACUCGAAUUAGGUUGAUGUAUAUUUUGCAACUCAAUCAAUAAAAGCUUGUGACAUUAGAGUAGAUUUUUUACAUCAGUUUUGAUAAUGUUUAUACAAGUACCGUUAAUAAAUAUUUCUUCUCUUUGCGGAGGUUCACUUAAAAAAAAAAAAGAGAGGUUUUAUAUUACUAUAUGUUUAUGCCAUUGUCAAUGUUUAUUUUAUUUUAUUAUUUAUGACUGUAAAUCUCACACACAUAAAAUUAACAUACAAAUUAUUUUAUUUGAUUCAUAUUCCAAAGUUUUAUAACCACUAAAGGUAAAUUUUGUGAAUCCUAUAUCUAUUAGAUAAGAAAUUCUAGAAUUUCUCCUAUUAGAUUAUUUGACACCGCUGAUCCCACUAUGAGACCUAUUGCUCAAUCAUUCUGGCAUACAAACUGAACACACUGAAGUAGUAUUAUGGGCUCAAAAAAAAAAAAAAAAAAUUUGCGUGUGUGUGUGUGUGUGUAUGUAGACACACAUACAGACAUACUAUUAUGUAUCGUUGAUGUAGAUAUAUAUACAUAUAAAUAUAUUCUCUGUGUAUGUGCAUACUAUUGUGUGACACCAGUAAUCUCACUAUAAGACUCACUGCUAUAUUUUUUUGAUAGAAUAUGUAAAUUGGGCAUGCCAACUCAACACGCCAAAGUGGUAUGACUGGCAUAAAAAAUAGAUUUUCUGUGUAUAUGCAUACCUAUGCACACAAAUACGUAUAUAUACAUACAUACUAUCACGUAUCAUUGAAGUAUCCAUAUAAAUAGAUUUUCGGCUUGAACAAGGGCUAUGUUAGAGAGAGAGAGAGGGAAAAAAAAAACCUAUUUUUUAAGGUACUUCACGAAAAUAAACAAAAUAUUAAUAUUUCUUAAUUUUGAUGUAAAUUUGUGAUUUGAAGUUAUAUCUCUUGUACCACUUUAAGCAAAUUUACAAUUAAACCAACUACCAUCCACAAUCCAUUCUAAACUAUAACCAUGCAUGAUUCUUAAGAGAAUGUUUAUUCAUUAAAAUUUUUAAUACUAAUAACUUUUUUUCCUUCAAAAUUUCAGAUACUACUUUGAAGUCCAUAAUUAUUUCUUUCUAUCUUUUUCCUAAACUUUUCAUUUAUUGGCUUAUUGCAAUCUUUAUCAUUUAGUUGGUUAUGGUUAUCUUCUUUGAAGUCAUUAGUUUUCUAAAAUCGGUAUAAAAUUAUUGAUAAAAUAGAAAGAAAAUGAAAGCCAUUUCCAUCCAGCUAGGCGUGCAAUAAGAAAAAUGUUAACCUUAUUAUGUGGCUCCAAUUGAGUUGAGCAAAGUCCAAAUGGUCUUCAUGCACUGAAGACACAUGGCUGUAAUCAAAGAAUUUUAGAGGGACAAAUGGAUUUCAUGCACUCAUUUUAGUUGCUGUAGAUUCUCAACCUUAACUAACCACCCCCACAGAAUCAUCAUCUUUGUCUAUUAACACAAUUUUUAAUUUAGGGAAAAUGACUAACACCUCCAACCUGUAGAUAAAGGGACAAAAACCCCUUUAGGGUUUCGAAAAAGACAUUUAUACCCCUAUUCACUGACAGAGACAGUUACUUUUAAUGGAAAUAGUAAUUUUAAUAUAUAAUUACCGUUAUACCCUCCUAGCACAUAAAACAAUAAUUGUUAAUUGUCUAAUUUGUCCAUAUAUUGCUAUUAAAAUUAUGAAUAUACCCUCAUUGUCCAAUUCCUCUAUUUAAGUUUUUAUGAAAUUCUCUCUUCAAGCCAAAUAAAUUUAAUCCAUUAUCAAUUUUUAUGUCUAUUGGAUAUGUUAUUUAAUACAAUUAAGGUAAGAUUUUUGUAAUUAUUGUUGUAACCAGCCUUUUUUUUCUAAUUUUUUGAUUAUACAAGUUUAAAUGAUUGACAUGUAGAGAAUUGUUAUUCUUAUGGCAUUAAUAACUAAUUUUAUUUAUUUAUAUUCUUGAGUAAUGGAUUAAAUUUAUUUGGCUUGAAGAGAGAAUUUGAUAAAAAAUUAAAUAGAGGAAUUGAGCAAUGAGGGUAUAUUUAUAAUUUUAACAAUUAUUUUUUUUAUGUGCUAGAAGGGUAUAAUGGUAAUUAUAUAUUAAAAUUACUAUUUCUGUUAAAAGUAAUUGUUUCCGUUAGUGAAUAGGGGUGUAAGUGUCUUUUUCGAAACGUUAUGAGGUUUUUGUCCCUUUGUCUAAAGGUUGGGGGUGUGUUAGUCAUUUUUCCUUUCAUUUAAUUAACUUUUAGUUAGAAAUAAAAAAAGGGCCCCAUUAUUUUGCAUUUGCAUGCAAUACCCAUCCAAGAAAUUAUCUAGCUUUCCAAUAAAUUUUAGUGUGUGUGUGUAUAUAUAUAUAUAAAAGACAAAAGAUGGACAAGACUUUACUCCUAAAUAGAGAAAAUUUCCACAUUCCAUUUUCACCUGUAGUUACAACCAUUACAGUCUUAUUUAUAUUAUAAAUUCAAUUUUGUUAGAGAAUUUACAAUUAAUCUAAAGACUGCUAUAAUAUUUUCAUCACAUACUAAGCCUUUAGUACCCAUAACUUAUAUUUAAAUUUAAAUGUUAUUAUUAUAUAGUAGUUGAGUAUAUAAGUAAUAAAAUCUUGAUGGGUUAUAACCGAAUAUAAAUAAUAUAUAUAAAUUGCGGAAAUGAAGAGAGAGAGAGAGAUAUGGCCUCAAAUUUCAUUGUUUCUGUACAUAUCUAUUAAAAGAAAAUCUACUUGAUUUCCACAUCUUUUUUUUUUUUUCGGUACAAUAAGUAGCCCAAAACAAGGCUAAGCAAUCACUCGGCGAGGGAUCGAGAUCCCCAAUCCAUCAUACAAAAGCCAAGUAGAAAUCUCAGGAGGGGGGGACACAAAUAUGUGAACUCCCAGAGGAAGCUUGAGGGCAUGAGAAGCCAUAAAAUCUGCUGCAUUAUUUGAUUCUCUAUAAACAUGGUGCAAAGCUACUCGCCAAUUAUGAUCCAUCAGCCUCUUUAUAUCACGAAUCAGAGGAUAACAAGCAUUAACAGUAUUACAACCCUUGGCAAUCAUUUGAAUUGCACACUCACUAUCAGCUUCUAUGAGAAUGUUACGAAUGCCAACCUCCCAAGCCAGCAACCGUCCCUGAAAAAUUCCCCAUAACUCAGCCAUUGUCACCGAGCAUACACCAAUAUUAAUGCUGAAUCCUGUCACCCACUCCCUUUUGCUAUUUCGAAUUAUACCGCCAGCCCCUGCAGUACCUGAGCUCCUUCUGGACCCAUCGGUAUUAUUUCUAUUAUAAUUUUUUUUUAAGAAUUUAAAAUUAAUCUAAAGAAUGCUAUAAUAUUUUCAUUACAUACUAAGCCUUUGGUACCCAUAACUUCUAUGUAAAUUUAAUUUUUUUGUUAUGUUGAGUAUAUAAGUAAUAAAAUAUGGGUGGGUUAUAACCUAAUAUAAAUAAUAUAUAUAAAUUGCGGAAAUGAAAAGAGAGAGGGGGAGAGAGAAGGCCCCAAAUUUCAUUGUUUUUGUAUAUAUAUCUAUCAAAAGAAAAUCUACUUGAUUUCCACAUCUUUAAGCAUACAUAAAGCUGGAUUUAGUUGUAGGUCGAUUAGAAUUUACAAACCUUGUCCUUGGUCAAGAUAAAUAAAUAAUAUUAAUGUUAUUUUUGAAUUUUUAACGAAUAUAUAGUAAGUCUUUAAUGUCACGAAUGUGUAAAAACACAUUAAACCCUAAUAUUAAUUGUUUUUCUAAACCUCAGUAAAAAUUUAAUGAGGUUUGUUUAUCCUCUAUUUUCUCUUUCAGGGAGUCCCAAGUUGCAAGAGUGUAGUGAUAAUUUGGAUUGAUUCAAAUUUAUGACUAUGACCAUGACGUAACUGUAAAAUUUCCAGAUUUAACAAAAGGUUUCAGCAAAAAAUUAAUUAGAAUUUAAUGGUGUCAUUUAUUUAAAAAAAAUAAGGAAAAAAAUAUUAAUAAUUCAGUUACAAAAAGUCGCUUUGAUUCAAAAUUAUGGACACAUGCUUCCUCCGCAGUCUUGGCUUGAAACCAGCUUCCCAAGUUUCAGACCUCCUCGCACUAUAAAAAACGACAAAAAAUGGGGUCCAGCUAUGGUGCCACAGUUGUAUGGUACCACAGCUGGAUCCAACCAUUGAAUUUAGCUCUAGUGACAACUGUAGGCUAGAUUCAAUGGUUGGAUCUAACUAUGGUACCAUACAACUGUAGUACCAUAGGUUUAUCCCAAAAAAUGUGGUUGGAAACUUGGUCCUGAAGUUACUUAAUCACCCUUUAUUUUACAGUAAUUUUUUUUUAUAAGCAGAAAAUAUAAAAUUUUAGCUUAAAUUGGCAUGAUGAAAGAGCUCAAGCUCUCAAGAAUCCUUAAAAAAUUAUUAUUAAUUAAAUUUCACUAGAUUUUUUUCGAAGAAUUUGUUUGAUUUUUCAUUACUAAUGUUAUGUGACUGAGCUGAAGUUGGGCAAUUUUCAUUAUUACAUUGACUCUCAAUUAUGGUUAAGAAAAUAGCAUUUACCAAUAAUUAAUAAAAAAUGAGACCCUGAAAUUUUGUUCGCACACAAAGCAUACAAACAAUUGAAGAAGGGUGAUAAAGUAAUAACACAAUAAACGCUAAUAAAUCAUUAAAAUUAAGGCAACGUUGUUGUAGCCUUAAUUCUCUUUGCUUUGUCCCACUAAUAGUGCCCCUUCAGUCGUAUCUGGACUGUAUGAUCUUCUUCAAAGCAUCCGGUGCCCACCAAACGGUCCUGAUUUAUAUAUUAAUUUGCACAUAAAAUCCAAAUAAUCAUUAAAUUACGACUUAUAAGGUAACAAAGAGGGAUUCAUGUAUUCCAUGCGAUUUUAAUUUCAGUUCACAACUUCCUAAAACACAAUGCAUUUUAACGACCUAAAAUUAACUUGACAAUUUUGCCCUUGGCAAAUACAAACCCUGUGGCUUACGUAGGGAGAUUAACAGUCACAAUUAACUAGAAAUACUAACCAGUGGCUUGGCAAGUCAUCGAAGGGCUAAAUUGCUGACAAGCAUACACUCAUUUUUAGCUCAUUUUCCUAUUAAAGAGCCCACAUAAAUUUAGCCCCAUCUCUCUAUUUAACAUUUAACGACCCUUCCUUUCUUGAGAGCUUAAUUUUUAUUCUUUUUUAUUUUUCUUUACUUUUUUCUCUUUACUCUCUCUACUGCAUGGAACUUGAUUCAAGUUUCCGAGAUGAUUAUCCUCUCAUAUCAAGCCUAUUUUCUGAUAAUCUCUUCAAAUCAGACCUAGGUAAUGGGUUCUCUUCUCUAGAAAAUCCAUCUUCUAAAGGUAUAUUGUUUCACAACUAUCAUAAUAACCAUGAUUAUGGUCUUAUUAGUGAGUCCACUUUUUCAAAUCCUCACCAUCUUAAUCGAUUUACCAUCGAAGGAUCUCAAAAAGUCCCCCUCUCGGGAUCUCAACAAUGAGUUUCGAUUCUCUUGAGGGCUAUUCAAAUGGGUUUUUUGGUACUGAGGGUGCAUAUACUGCCACUCCGUUGGUACUGAAUAGUACAAACGAGGUUUUGCAUGGUCCAGAAAGAAGAGGAUUUUGGGAUUAUUCACAGAAUUUUUCAGCUCACCCCAAGCCGGAAACUCCAAAUUUUCAGCCGAUGCUAAUGAAUUUUCAAGAUUAUGGAUCAUCGAGUGCAAAAUUGUCCGAUGAAGUCUCAUGUGUAAUUGGAGAAAAUGCAUAUAAUCAAGAUCAAAAGAGGAACAAAAGGAUACCUAUGAAAAGAGAAAGGAAACUUCCAAAGAAGAACAAUAUAAUCAAAGGGCAGUGGACUCCUCAAGAGGAUAUGCAAGAGAAGAACUAAAUUAAAUUUCAUUUUGGUCUUUUUUCACAAAUUAAUCCAAAAAUUUUAUUUAUACUUUCUUCCAUUUUUUUCUCCUUAGGGUUUUUUUUGGGUACGUUUAUUGGAGUUAUUAAGAAUUGGUAUCAUAAAUCUCUCUUUGCAGAAUGUUGAUCCGGCUAGUUUAGGGGGAAAAAAUUGAUAGUUUUUGUAAUUUUCAAGUACUUGCCAUUGCAACGUCAAUUUUUAGAUAGAGGAGGAAAAAUUGAUCCUACAAGGAGAGUAAAUCUAUGACUAAAAAAAUGAGAUGAAAUUUAAGAGUAAAUACGAUAAGCAGCAUUCUAACUUGGUAGUUGCAAUUUUUUUGAAGAUUUUGCAAGACACAGUUAGCUUAUGAUUUAUGAAGCAAAUCUAUAAUGAGAGUGAUUGCCUCAUGGUUUAUUGAAGAAAAAUUUAUAAGGAGAGCUAAUUCGAUCUUGUUUAUUGUUGGCGGCAAUUGAUAUCUGACAAUUGUUGAUUAUAGCUAACAGCCAAGGUUGGAAGUCCGAAUAUCAAAGGUCUACAAUUACAGUCAAGGUUGAUCCUGCAAAAUUUUACAUAGAUAGCUCUAUUUAAAAUUUAUUAAAAUAUAAUAGCUAUAGAGAUGACUAAGGUCAUGUUUAGUAUUGAGGUAGUAUAGCUAUUGUAGCAAAAAAUUAUGACUUUGAAAUAAAGCUUAAUAGUAUGUAAUAAAUAAGAUUUUUAAAUGAUAACUUUGAUAAAAAUAAUAAAGAUGUUAUAUUUUUUUUAUCAGAUACGACUAGUAUUAUAAGUAAUGGAUUAAAUAACCUCAACCAGUUAUAUUAGCUAAUAUUUACCAAACAUUUUAGUGCUGUGGCAUUUAAAUUAAAACUGCUUAAUCUCAAUACUAAGCAUGGUCUAAUUUAAUUGUAUUGGGGACUAAUCCCUGGCAAGUUUUAUAUAGAUCCCUUUAUUCUUAGUUUUUCAAAAAUACAAUCAUAUAAAUUACCAAUUUCUUCCUUCUAAUUAUAUAUAUAUAUAUGUAUGUAUGUAUGUGUAUAUGUAUACGUAUAUAGGCACACACACAUGCCCGAACAACUUGUGGAGCUUGUGAUUUUAGGACCGACUUUACAAACAACUGCUUCAAAAAUUAUGCCGCGAAUAUCAAGAGAUCAACUACUUUCUAGAAUUAAUUUUGAGGCACUUUUGUAAUUCCUUUUUAUUUAUGUAAUUUUAGAGGAAGUAUUGAUAUUUGGUCUCAAUAGUGACAUAUAGAGACAUAUGGAUUGAACUGCUACAUUAUUGUUCUAGUCAUUAACAAUUGUUCAAUUAGACCUUCCAAGGUGAUGGGAUAUGAUGAGUUGUCUUUUAACUAUCACAAAACUUAAUGUUCUUAGUUCUUAUGAAAAUCAUAGAAUACUUGACAGAAAAGAAUAAUAUAUUUUUUUAAUCUUAUUUUACAUAGAUUUUACUGUUUGACCGAGUCUUGGAUAAAUUUUAAAUACAUUAUAUCAUCUACAAUAAAUUUUCUAUAAAAUAAUAUUGUUGGGAUUAAGGAAAAAUACCAAUUUAGUGAAGUUAUUAAUUUACCAAUAAAUGAAUAUUUAUUAAUUUAGAGAGAGAUUUUUUGUUUUAAGAAUUUUAUUGAUAUAUGUACAUAUUUAUCUGUAAAAGAACAUAAAUCGUGGUUGCUUAAGUCAAUGAUAUCUUCUCAAAUGGCUACUACUUAUAAUAGUGUAGCUUUGUUAAGCAACUUGUAAUUAUACAAUAUUUCUUUUUUGCUUUUCCUUAGUUUGUGUAAUCAUUAGGGGUGGGCAAAUCGGGUUUCGGUUCGGGUUGUUCGGGUUUCGGUUUGGGUUUCAACCCGUUCGGGUUGGAGAAUUGAACCCAAUCGGGUUGAAAACGCCAACCCGAACCGAACCGAACCGAAUUUAAUUCGGUUCGGUUCGGUUUGGGUUGGCAAUUCGGAUCGGAUUGAGUUGAUAAUUCGGGUUAAAAUUUCGGUUCGGGUUAAUUCGGGUUAGUUCGGGUUAGAAUAAUUCGGGUUAGUUCGAUUUAGAAUGGGUUGGAACAAUUUAAUCUAAAAAUUCUAACAACAACCACUUAAAAUCUAAAAAUUUCAAUUCCAAACAUCAUUAACAACAAAUAUCAAUUACAAAUCAUCUUUAAUAACAUUUCAACAAUUUAAAAAUCUCAAUUCCAAACAUUCCAAACAUCCUUAAGGAACAAUUUAAUUCAAAAAUUAUAACAAUCACUUAAAAUCCAAAAAUCUCAAUUCCAAACAUCCUUAAUAACAAAUAUCAACUACAAAUCAUCUUUAAUAACAUUUCAAUAAUUUAAAACUCUCAAUUCCAAAUAUUCCAAACAUCCUUAAGGAACAAUUUAAUUCAAAAAUUAUAACAACCACUUAAAAUCCAAAAAUCUCAAUUCCAAACAUCCUUAAUAGCAAAUAUCAACUACAAAUCAUCCUUAAUAAUAUUUCAACAAUUUAAAACUCUCAAUUCCAAAUAUAUUUUUAAUUUAAAAGCUGAAUCUUAAAAAAAAAAAAAAAAAGCUUCAACCCGAACGGGUUGAAGCUUUGAAUCCGUUCGGGUUUCACCGGUUAACCCAAACCGAACACCCACCCCUAGUAAUCAUACAUAUACAACUAUUGUGUAAGUAUUUACUUUUGAAAAAUAUGAAUACAAAAGUAUUCUCAAGUUUCACUUGAUUAUUUUAUAAUUUCUAGUCUCAUAUCAUAAUAAUUUUCAUAUUUUUCUGCUUCAUGGGUUCUCAUUUCAAAGAAGUAAAAAGAAAAAAAAAUCUUUAUUGAUAGAAAAAGAUAUACUAAAUGUAGUGCAUGCUCUACAAAAUAAUUAAUGACGAGCUGCGCUCAGUUAGGAACAAAGAGAAGCCAAAAAAGAAAAAAAAACUUUAGAUGCAUAUUUUUCAAAGAGUUGAAUUCAAAUAAUAGUAAUUGUAAAAAAAAAAAGUUCCUUAAUUUUAUGAGUUAUAUAAUUUAUUCAUUAUUAAUUUUUGUAUGAGAUUAAUUAUUAGUUUAUAUUUUCAUAGUUAUUAGUUUAUAUUUUCAUAGGGUCCUAAAGCAUUCAAAAAGUCAAUAUUGUCUUACGCAUUUAACAAAGCUAUUUAUUUGUUACACUGGCUCAAUUUGGAACUUGAAGACUUAAUUAUUUAAUCAACAUUAUUAACUUAUCGGAUAGUUAUUUAUCAAUAUUUUAUUUGUGUUGUUACGUUAAUAAAAAAAGAAAUUAUAAAAAAGAAAAAUAAACUAAUUUAAUGAUAUUCGCUGAUGCGCACUCUUGAGUGUAUGAGCUCAAUAUCAUUUUCAUGAUUUGGAGAAGCAAAAUUGGAAAAAAGCAGUUAACAAAAAAAAUCAUUAAAAUACACACACAUAGAUUGAAGGAUUUCUUACAUUAUUAAAGUUAUAAAUAAGUUAAAAGACAAUAAAAAUGCAAACUUUAAUAUAGUACAUGACAAAAUACACUGCACUGCAAUAUGUGUUUUGCUUGUAUUUUAUUUUGUUUCUUAUUUCAACAACUGAAAAAAUCUCUUAUUAGAUAAAGAUUAUACAUACAUACAUACAUACAUACAUAUAUAUAUACAUACAUACUGAUGGUUGUCGAAGCCAACAAAAAUAAAUUCCUACUCUAAAUAAAUUGUGUAUAGUGAUUGAGCAGGGUUGUGUCCACAGAGAUCGGUAAUUAUUUAAAUCAUUUUGAAACGUAAAACGUAAAAUGGGGGAAUUGUUGACAAUAAUAAAAAUCAAAUUAAAAUAACAAGAAUGCAAAUUAAAGUUGUAAUUCAAAUUGGAGAAAGCUCUGGUUGAAGGAAUUAACUCAGCUUGAUUCGACUACUGAUCAUUGAUUCAAAUAUAAAUUAUUAUUACUUAUAAAUAGACCGGUUAUAGCUACUGAGACCUUCUAAUAGCCAAUCUCUCCUUAAUUAGUCGAUAACCAAGGUACGACUGUUGGAUAUUUCCCUAAUCAAUAGACAACCCUAGAUACGAUCAUAGGAUUUAAUCAAUUGAUAGCCUGAAAAACCAGAGAGACCCAAAUCCUAAUCAACACAUAUGAUGAUUCAUUUAAAUUAGAUUGUUUAUUCUCAUAACACAACUCACUGCUAUGUUAUUUGUCACAAACAUUAAAAUCUUCAUACGAUGAAUCCUUUAAUUGACAAUAGAUUAAGUUGAUAAUUAAAUAGUGGCCAAUUACCUAAUUAACAAACAUAAUCAUGAAACUAAUUCAGAGAAUAAAUAAAUACCCAAAAAGUAAUAAAACAAUUAAAGCAUAAGAAAGAUCUCACAGUAGUGAUGAAUCAAAGCUUCAUUAACCUUCAACCAGAAAAAUAAGUUUAGUUCUUCAUAGAGAGAAGAGAAAAAUUAGAUCUAGGGUUUCUUUCUUUUUCUCCACUAAAGUCCCAUUUUUCACAAUAGAUUCCUCUCUUAAAUACUCUCUCUCUCUUCUCCUCUAGAAUUCUAUUUAAAAUAAAAUACUAAUAUCUAAAAUAUUAAAUUCGUAAUUACAAAAAUAACCAAAAAUACAAAACACGUUAAACUAAAAACUGUAGGUCCGUAGUUGACAGCACGCGCCCACGCCUUAUCAACAAAGUUCUUCUGACGCUCAUAAUUUCUCCAAGAGAACAAUCAUCUUUAAACAUCAUCUUAUAGCUCAAUUUUAUCACAAAUCAAUAGAAUUGCACCUACAAAAGUAAAACACAAGUAAAUCAUCAUUAUUAAGUGCAAAACAUCGAUAUUAAGGGAAGUAAAUAAUGCAAAACUAGUGCAUAAAUUGCACUCUAACACAUACAUACAUACAUACAUACAUACAUACAUACAUACAUACAUACAUACAUAUAUGUAUAUAUCACAAAAAUGUUGAAUAGGAGCACACCCAAAGAAUAUGGUGAUGAAGCAAGGGAAUUUUAAGUUAUUAAUGACUUUUCUUUUGUAUCUGUGUAUAAUUCUACUGUUGCCCCCACUCCAAUGGUUAAACAUAUAUUUUAUUUUAUAAUCCUUUUGAGUUCUUAGUAUAACUUAGUUAUUAGAAUGCCACCGACAUUCGUUCCUUGUUGGAGAAUUUACAAAUAAAACACACAAAACACACAAUUUUAUUUCUUCAACAACACUCCUCACCAAUUACAACUCUUAUUUUUCACUCUCUACACCUUAGAGAUUUUGUUACUUUACUUGAUGCUUAAACCAAAGGGGAGAGGGGGUAUUUAUACAUGAUACAAACUAAUCACAACCAUUCAUUUAUUCAACUACUACAUAAAUCCUCACAAUUCAUUAAAACCUACCACUCACCUACUUCACCAACUACACCUACCACACCUAACACAAAUAAUUCAAACCUCACCAACCAUACCUACUCAUGGAAUCUUCCAUGAGUUGGGCUUGAAUUUAUUCAUCUUAGAUCAAGUUUAUGAUCCAACACCCCCCUUAAACUUGAUCCUGUGACACCAAGCAAAUUUAUGAAUUUUAUGAAGUCUUCUUGCUUGAGUGGCUCAGUGAAGAUAUCAACUGCUUGAUCUUGUGAUUCUAUAUACUUGAUUUGUACUUCUUUUCUUGCAAUACACUCUCUUAUGAAAUGAUAGCGAGUGUCUAUGUGUUUGCUUCGAUCAUGAAAGACUGGAUUCUUGGAUAGGGCAAUUGCUGAUUUGUUAUCAACACAAAUCUCGGUUGGCUCUUCUUGUGGCAAACCUAACUCCUUCAGCAAAUUUCUGAGCGAAAUUGCAUGACAAACACUUGAUAUGGCAGCUACAUACUCAGCUUCACAAGUGGAUAGCGUGACAAUUGGUUGCUUCUUUGACAUCCAUGUGAAAGCAAUAUCUCCCAUGAAGACCACAAAUCAUAUGGUGCUCUUUCGAUCAUCUACAUCUCCACCCCAAUCGCUAUCGCUAUAUCCAACAGGCUUGUAGUCAUUAGAAAAUGAGUAUAACAAGCCGAAAUUAGUUGUACCUUUGAUGUAGCGAAUGAUUCUUUUUGCAGCUUUAAAAUGGGUGGUCUUUAGAUUCUCCAUGUAUCGGCUAACAAGUCCAACAACAUAAAGGAUAUAUGAUCUUGUGCAUGUCAAAUAACGUAGGCUUCCGACCAAACUUUUAAAGAAUGUUGGAUCUAUAUCUUCGCCUUCAUUAUGUUUGGAUAAUUUAACUCCGCAUUCCACUGGCGUGCUUAUAGGCUUACAAUCAUUCAUCUUGAACUUCUUGAGAAUCUCCUUUGCAUAACUUUCUUGGGAGAUAAAUAUGUCUUCUUCCUUUUGCUUGACUUCAAUGCCAAGAUAAUAUGCCAUCAGUCCAAUGUCAGUCAUCUCGAACUCUUUGAUCAUCACUCUCUUGAACUCUUUAAAUAAGCUUGGAUCACUUCCAGUGAAGAUGAGAUCAUCCACAUACAAGCACACAAUCAAAAUGUCUCCAGCUUUUUCUUUGACGUAAAGAGCAUGUUCAUAUGGGCAUUUGGUGAAGCCGUUCUCUUGAAAAUACUUGUCAAUUCUACUAUUCCAUGCCAUUGGUGCUUGCUUUAACCCAUAAAGAGCUUUCUUCAAUCUCAAAAUUUUGUCUUCAUGUCUUUUCACCACAUAGCCUAAUGAUUGUUCGAUAUAAACUUCUUCUUCAAGGAAUCCAUUCAAGAAAGCACACUUCACAUCCAUUUGAAAAAUCUUCCAUUUGUUCUGAGCAGCUAAAGAAAUAAUAAGUCUAAUAGUUUCAAGUCGAGCUACAAGAGCAAAUACCUCGUCAUAGUCUGUGCCAGCCUUUUGACUAUAGCCUUUUGCAACUAUCCUUGCCUUCUGCCUUUCAAUUUCUCCCUUCGCAUUUCUUUUUGUUUUAUACACCCAUUUGACAUCGAUCGCCUUGUGACCUUUGGGAAGAGUAGUAAGCUCCCAAGUAUCGUUCUUCACAAUGGCUUUGAUUUCUUCAUCCAUUGCAAUUCUCCACUUCUCAUCUAGUGCAGCUUCUUGGAAGUUGACUGUCUCACAAUCAGCAAAGAGGCAAAAGAGAGUGAGAUUAUCACGUCUUUCAAUUACCUUAUAAAGAUCUUGAAGACUCAUUGUACGUUCUUCGGUUAUUUCAUUUAAGAAAGAUGGCGGUGAAUCUCCGCAUGUGGUUGAUGCUGGUGAGAUAGGUGGAGUAGCAGGCUCUUGUUGUUCGUCUACUUAUUUUAUCUGUGUAUGAUCACCUUCUUCAAUGGGAAAGAAGUUGAAGUCAUCCACACCAGAGCCAAAAUCGCAUUCUCCUUCUUCAUCAAAAACUACAUCUCGACUUAUCACGAUCUUUCCGUUGUUUGAAUUGUAAAGCUUAUAUCUUUUGGAGUUGUUGUCGUAGCCAAUGAAGAUGAACUUCUCACUUUUUUCAUCCAGCUUUGCUCUACUUUCGUCUAGUACAUAUACAUGGGCAAUGCUUCCGAAAACUCUUAGAUGGGUGAUGCCGAGUUUUCUUCCACUCCAAGCUUCUUAUGGCGUCUUGCUCCACACGCUUCUUGUUGGAGAUCGAUUGGAUAAGUAGACUGCACAUGUAAUAGCUUCAGCCCAAAAUUCUUUAGGUAGCCUUUUACUCUUAAGCAUGUUUCUUGCCACGUCGAGGAUGGUUCUGUUCUUUUUUUCUGCAACACCAUUUUGUUGGGGGGAUCUUGGAACUGUCAAAGGGCGUCGAAUUCUAUUUGCUUCACAAAACUUUAAAAAUUCUUUGGAAGUGAACUUUCCACCUCGAUCAGAUCUCAUUGCUUUAAUCUGGUAUCCACUUUCUUUUUCCACUACAGCUUUAAACUUCUUGAAAGCUUCAAAGACUUCUAAUUUUUGCUUCAAAAAGUACACCCAAGUUUUUCUUAAAAAAUCAUCUAUGAAGAGAAGGAAGUAGUUACUUUUACCAAAGGAGUUUGGCUUGAAUGGACCGCAUACAUCAGUAUGAAUGAGCUCGAGUGGCUUCUGAGCUCUUGAGUUUGACUCCUUUGGAAAACUCUUUCUGAACUACUUGCCAUGUAAACAUCCUUCACAAAUUUGAUCAGAGUGAUUGAUGUAUGGUAAACCUUUCACCAUGUUCUUCUUAGAUAGUAGCUCUAGUCCUCCAAAGUUGAGAUGCCCAUAUCGAAGAAGCCAAGUCCAGGAUAGAUUUUUAUGACAGCCUUUGAGACAUUUUGCAACAUCAUUUUGAAUAUUUAAAGGAAACAUUCUAUUCUUUGACAUUCUCACACUUGUAAUUAGAUUUCCUUUGUCAUCUCUUAGGAAAAGACUAUAAUAUUUUAAGUGAAUAUCAUAACCUUUUUUUAAAAGUUGACCCAAACUAAGAAUGUUGCUUUUCAUAUUGGGCACAUAGUAAAUAUUCGAAAUUAUUUUGUGACUACCAUCUUUUGCACGAAAAAGAAUGUUACCUCUACCCUCCACUGGUACUUUUGAAUCAUCUUCAAAAGCAAUACCGCCAUUCACAUAUUCACUUAGUUGCACGAACAUACUUUUGUUUCUACUCAUAUGAUUGCUAGCACCUGUGUCAAGAUACCAUGUAUUUUCUUGACCUCCAUUUGUGUCAUUGUGUGCUAGUAAAAGUGUGCCAUCUUCACCAUUUUUCUCUUCAGCAUAGUUCACUCUCUCCUCAAUUCUGGUGCUUGGAGCUCUGCAUUCUGAAGCAUAAUGCCCAAACUUUUGACAAUUAUAGCACUGUACUUGGGAUUUGUCAUACUUCGAUCUUGGAUUGCCUCUGCCUCGUCCUCUGGUUGAGCUUUCUCCUUUGGCAUUAUUAAUUUAUUCAUUAUUAAUUUUUGUAUGAGAUUAAUUAUUAGUUUAUAUUUUCAUAGGGUCCUAAAGGAUUCAAAAAGUCAGUAUUGUCUUACGCAUUUAACAAAGCUAUUUAGUUGCUACACUGGCUCAAUUUGGAACUUGAGGACUUAAUUAUUUAAUCAAGAUUAUUAACUUAUCGGAUAGUUAUUUAUCAAUAUUUUAUUUGUGUUGUUACGUUAAUAAAAAAAGAAAUUAUAAAAAAGAAAAAUAAACUAAUUUAAUGAUAUUCGCUGAUGCACACUCUUGAGUGUAUGAGCUCAACAUCCUUUUCAUGAUUUGGAGAAGCACAAUUGGAAAAAAGCAGUUAACCAAAAAAAUCAUUGAAAUACACACACAUAGAUUGAAGGAUUGCUUAUGUUAUUAAAGUUAGAAAUAAGUUAAAAGACAAUAAAAAUACAAACUUUAAUAUAGUACAUGACAAAAUACACUGCACUGCAAUAUGUGUGUUUCUUGUAUUUUAUUUUGUUCCUUAUUUCAACAACUUAAAAGAUCCCUUAUUAGAUAAAGAUGAUAUAUAUCACGAAAAUGUUGAAUAGGAACACGCCCAAAGAAUAUGGUGACGAAGCAAGGGAAUUUUAAGUGAUUAAUGACUUUUUUUUCUUUAUGUAUUUAGUUCUACUGUUGCCCCCACUCCAACGGUUAAACAUAUCUUUUAUUUUGUAAUCCUUUUGAGUUUUUAGGGUAACUUAGUUAUUAGAAUGCCACUGGCAUUCGUUCCGAGCAAAGAGCAAGCUCUCCAUCAGAUUCGUAUUGUUAAAUUAGUUACAGCUUUCCUUGUUUGUAGACAAAGCUAAUUCGGAAUUGUCUUUAGUUUCAUGGUUUAACUUGUAUCCAUUUACUUCAUAUUCGCCUCGAGUUCACUCAUGGAAAUAUAACCAUCCCUAAAUCUCUCACGUCAAUCCCAUGAUCCUCUUAUCCUUUCCCAUUCUUCUUUAAUCACGGUGCGCGGGGAAGUGGAAAUAAAAAAACUCAAUUUGUACCCCUCUAAGUUGUGGGUUAUAAUGCUCAAUUUGAAAAACAAAUAAAGGAAAAACACACAUACUCACAAAUGUAAUAAUAUGGAGAUUGGUUUUCCAUUUUUAUAAGCCAUAACAUAUUUAUGAUUUUUAUUAUAUUUUCUUGCAAUUAUGCCUUCAUUAAUUCGAAUUGUAUAUUAUGCUAUAAUAUUCUUGAUGUAUCUUGGAAUUAAGCAUUCCUUCAUGCUGACCUUAUUAGUAUUGUGGCUUCUGCAAGACUUGGGCCCUCCGUCCAAAUGAGUAGAUUAAUGAUCCUAUUUUUCGUUCUUAUUUAUUUAUUUGUGAACAAAUAAAACUAUCGAAAUCAAGUAAUACACAAGUUUCCACCACGCGGCGUGAUUUAAGCUCAUAACUCUUUUGUAACAUGUCUGAUGAACGAGCUGUCAUAGAUAGCGCCAUAAGGCCACGGCGUCGCCAAGCGGCAAUCUCCUAGCUAGCAAAGUAGCAAUAAUCACGGUGAUUAACUGAUGGUAAUUAGCUAAUUUGAUUGAAAGUCGUGAAGUAUGGGGCACGAACGAUCGACCAACGCAAUGCAUACGUCUUGGAUGCAUUAGGGACACUAAACGUGAUCCAUAUAUAUGCUAGCCAGUACUAUAUAUAGAGCAACAAUGUGUGCCUCGAGUAUUCACAAAUUACUAACAAAUUAGUAAUAUACCCAAAAAGGGAGGGGAAAAAAAAACAACCAUGGUUUUAAAAUUUGAGAAAAGCUUUAUCAUUCCCAUGUUUGUGAUCAUCAUUUUGGUGAUCACUUGUGCAUCACAAGUGGUGUCCGGCCGGUCGAUGCAUGAACCGUCCAUCGUUGAGAAACACGAACAAUGGAUGGCUCAGCAUGGACGCACUUACAAGGACGAGCUAGAGAAGGCAAUGCGUCUUAAUAUAUUCAAGCAAAACCUUGAAUACAUUGAGAAAGCCAACAAGGAGGGGAAUCGGACGUACAAGUUGGGCACCAAUGAAUUUUCAGACUUAACUAACGAGGAGUUUCGUGCUUCAUAUACAGGAUACAACAGGCCAGUACCAAGCGUAAGCCGCCAGUCAUCACGGCCAUCCACCUUCAAGUACCAAAACGUGACUGAUGUUCCGACUAGCAUCGACUGGAGGGAGAAAGGAGCUGUCACUCAUAUAAAGGAUCAAGGCCAAUGUGG
This 18663-nucleotide long non-coding RNA is filed under the name Citrus maxima (pomelo). RNAcentral's name for it is "long non-coding RNA (CMAX_LNC000542)". Lineage: Eukaryota; Viridiplantae; Streptophyta; Magnoliopsida; Sapindales; Rutaceae. The record is from RNAcentral.